GAUGAACGCUAGCUACAGGCUUAACACAUGCAAGUCGAGGGGAAACGACAUCGAAAGCUUGCUUUUGAUGGGCGUCGACCGGCGCACGGGUGAGUAACGCGUAUCCAACCUGCCCACCACUUGGGGAUAACCUUGCGAAAGUAAGACUAAUACCCAAUGAUAUCUCUAGAAGACAUCUGAAAGAGAUUAAAGAUUUAUAGGUGAUGGAUGGGGAUGCGUCUGAUUAGCUUGUUGGCGGGGUAACGGCCCACCAAGGCUACGAUCAGUAGGGGUUCUGAGAGGAAGGUCCCCCACAUUGGAACUGAGACACGGUCCAAACUCCUACGGGAGGCAGCAGUGAGGAAUAUUGGUCAAUGGACGGGAGUCUGAACCAGCCAAGUAGCGUGCAGGAUGACGGCCCUAUGGGUUGUAAACUGCUUUUAUAAGGGAAUAAAGUGAGUCUCGUGAGACUUCUUGCAUGUACCUUAUGAAUAAGGACCGGCUAAUUCCGUGCCAGCAGCCGCGGUAA
Molecule: ribosomal RNA, 508 nt
Filed under: uncultured bacterium
Lineage: Bacteria
Description: partial 16S ribosomal RNA
Rfam family: Bacterial small subunit ribosomal RNA
Source: RNAcentral